UUUGUGGCCACAAAUUAAAAAAACUUCAGAGGGUUAACACACGCAAGAUACGCACAAAUGCUUAUUCGCAGCAGGAGAAGGAAAGCACUUUGUUUUAGCGGUAGGUAAAGUUACGUAAGUCAAAAGAGUUGGUCUGGGAAGGCGUAAGAAAGACGUGAGGAAAUUUAAAACUGCAGUCUCGAUAUCAAGACUGGAGCAUCAUACAUCUUCAGCAGUUUUAGGAUCUUUUUUUGUGUUUUACUGAAUACAUCAUAUCUACAGUUUAAUCGCCGAUCCAUACUUUGUCGACGGGAAAUACCUCAUAACAAACUGACACCAGGCAGGGUCAAAGUGGAAACAUGGCGAUCAGGUGUUAUUAUGAAAACAAGGUGCCCUUAUACAUCAUUCUUGUGAACUACUGUUGUGUUCUUGCCGUUUCGAAAGUCGGCUCUUUUGAUUAUGUUUACUGGCCUUUAAAUGGAAGUGAAGAAGACAUUGGGUGAGUAUCAUUGAUGUUAUUAGUAAAUAUAAACCCAAUCUGCCGAUUG
Molecule: long non-coding RNA, 527 nt
Organism: Pocillopora damicornis (cauliflower coral)
Lineage: Eukaryota; Metazoa; Cnidaria; Anthozoa; Scleractinia; Pocilloporidae
Source: RefSeq, a predicted model, not a curated record